This 490-nucleotide ribosomal RNA is filed under the name uncultured delta proteobacterium. Its description in RNAcentral is "bacterial SSU rRNA". It matches the Rfam family "Bacterial small subunit ribosomal RNA", at positions 58 to 523 of the family's 1533-position model. The record is from RNAcentral. Lineage: Bacteria; Deltaproteobacteria.
CAAGUCGAGCGAGAAAGUUCCUUCGGGAACGAGUACAGCGGCGCACGGGUGAGUAACACGGUAGGUAACCUACCCUCGAGACCCGGAAUAACCCGUCGAAAGAUGGGCUAAUGCCGGAUGGGACCACGGUGGUCACGGCCACUGCGGUGAAAGACGGCCUCUGUUCACAAGCUGUCACUGGAGGAUGGGCCUGCGCGCCAUUAGCUAGUUGGUGAGGUAACGGCUCACCAAGGCGAUGAUGGCUAGCUGGUCUGAGAGGAUGGCCAGCCACACUGGGACUGACACACGGCCCAGACUCCUACGGGAGGCAGCAGUGGGGGAUAUUGCGCAAUGGCGAAAGCCUGACGCAGCGACGCCGCGUGGGUGAUGAAGGCCUUCGGGUCGUAAAGCCCUGUCGAGGGGGACGAAUCAGCCUGGCCCUAAUACGGUCGGGCCCUGACGGUACCCCUAAAGGAAGCACCGGCUAACUCCGUGCCAGCAGCCGCGGUAA